UUGUAAAAAUUAAUUUAAAAUUUAUUAAAUUUACCUUUUGCAUAAUGGUUUAAUUAACUUUAAAAGAUUUUUUUUCCCCGAAAUAAGAAGAUCUAAUAAAAUUAAAAAAUAUGUUUCAAAAUAUUUUUCUAAUUUUUUAUUAGGUGUGAAAGGCUAAUCAAUUCUUAUUAUAUCUGGAUUAGAUUAAAAUGUAUUUAGUACAGGCUUAAAGCUGAGGAGCCCCCUGUUAAGGGGGGGCUCCACAAGGAAUUAAAUUUUAAUUUUAUUUUUAGGAUAAUUCUUUAAUAAUAAUUUUUUUGUUUUACUUAUUUAUUUUUAUUUGCUUCUUUAAAGUUUUUCUAAAAAUUUUUGAAUUCUUUAUAAUUUUUAUAAUGUUAAAAUAAGUAUUAGUUAAUAGUUUAAAUAUAGGAACUCGGCAAAAUUUUUACUCAACUGUUUAUCAAAAACAUAGUUUUAUGAAAUUAUAUAAAAUGAAUUCUGCCCAAUGAAAAUUUUAAAUGGCCGCAGUACUUUAACUGUGCUAAGGUAGCAUAAUAAUUUGGCUUUUAAUUAAGGUCUGGUAUGAAAGGAAUUUUAUGGGUAAUAACUGUCUUUAUCUAAUUUCUAAAAAAUUACUUAAAAGGUGAAAAUUCCUUUAAUUUUAAAAUAGACGAGAAGACCCUAGGAGUUUUCUUUUUGUUGGGGCGACAUUUUAGUAAAUUAACCUAAAAGAAAAAUUUAACGAUUGUAUUAAUUUUAUUUAAACUACCCUAGGGAUAACAGCAUAUUUAAAUUACUUGUUUGUGACCUCGAUGUUGGACUAGG
This 804-nucleotide ribosomal RNA is filed under the name Allenoconcha retinaculum. Its description in RNAcentral is "partial large subunit ribosomal RNA". The stretch from base 428 to 579 matches the Rfam family "Archaeal large subunit ribosomal RNA", at positions 1887 to 2086 of the family's 2987-position model. The record is from RNAcentral. Lineage: Eukaryota; Metazoa; Mollusca; Gastropoda; Stylommatophora; Microcystidae.